This 219-nucleotide unclassified non-coding RNA is filed under the name Hevea brasiliensis (rubber tree). Lineage: Eukaryota; Viridiplantae; Streptophyta; Magnoliopsida; Malpighiales; Euphorbiaceae. The record is from RNAcentral.
GUCGAGGGUGCGGCGGACGGUAAGGUCGAGGGUCUGGUUGCGGCGGCGGAGGGCGGCAGAGCGGUCAUCGAGGCGGCGCUCGAGGGAGGUGAAGUGGUUGGAGAGCUCCUUCCAGAGAUUGGUGCAGCUGGAGAUGAGAUCCUGCUGUCGCUCCAGCUCGGCGAAACUGUCCUGCACCGCCGUGUCGGCGGCGACGGCGGCGGAUCCCAUCGAGAUUUG